Molecule: long non-coding RNA, 1347 nt
Organism: Brassica napus (rape)
Lineage: Eukaryota; Viridiplantae; Streptophyta; Magnoliopsida; Brassicales; Brassicaceae
Exons: 2
Source: RefSeq, a predicted model, not a curated record
AGAUGGACCAACAUAUUUCUCUAAUGAUUCUAAGAAUCAUUCUAGUGAUGACAUUGGCUACAAAAAGAAGUUGUAAUGCUUCUCAAAUAAUAUAUAGGGGAUAUGUCUCUUGUUUUCAUUUGUAUAAACAUAAACUACAAAAGUUAAUUAUUUAGGGAAGGGUUUUCAAUAUCCCAGAUUAUUCAAUGGCCCUCACAACAAUUUACUUUGUUUCUUAUAGAAGUUGUCUACCAAAGAAGAAAUUGUGAACCGUGUGUGUGACAGAAAGGUGUCGUAGAAAACAAAAGAGAGGAAAGAGAAACGAUUCUCUCUCUUCAACCUUCACCGUAAAACUCUAGCCACCGCUUUAUUUUUCCUGCUUAGUAGAGUCGACGACAGCUUUAAUUGCCACCGGUCCCCUCCCAUCUGGCCCAUGUUUGUCUCACUUAUAUCCACAAUUUCUUUCAUCUUACGUCGCAACCUUCGUGUCGAACAGCCUAAAGAAAGACGGGGUGUGUGUCUUUCUUCUCUAAAGUGUGGAUGAAGUCGUGAUCGUUUACAAAGCCCGGUGUCCUUGUUUCUCUGCCUCCUCCGAUCGUCGGCGUCAAAUAUGGGUCAAAUCUGAACCCAAGACUAGGUGAUUUUCUUGGAAGCGUCGAUGCCUCAUCUCUCACCCCCAUCGUCUUAUUACCUGACAGUCUCUGUGCCGCGGAUCUCCAAGGUUUGUAGAGCCUCUGAGUUCCUCAGAGAGCGGCAUAGUGGUGGUAAUCCUUUGAGGGCCUCUUCGUCUAGCAUAAAGUUUCAACUUCCGUUGUAUUUCUCCUGUUUUGGCUUGUUCUCUCUCCCCUGUGCUUAGAAGGUUUAGAUGUUUAGGAUCUUUGAGGACGAAUCCGAUGUGUCAUUCACGUUUCCGGAGAAUUUGUACCGCAUGCAUUUGAUCUUAGCUAUUUCUCGUGUCUCACAGAAGUGUUGACAUCUGAGUCUUGUUCAGAAGAGAGCUCCUUGAGAGGUCAACGGAUUUGGUUUCAACGGAGUCUUCAUUAGCUUGCAUCGGAGUGGAAUGCCAGGCCCUCUGUCACCGCAGCUUGAGGGACCUUUAGGUUCAUCUCCGGAAAAUCAUCUCUGUGUAGCCUACUCCUUGUUUCUCUCAGUUCGCGUCCAGCUUCUUGGAAGUGUUGGUGGAAAACAUAAUUUGAUUUUGGCGCUUUUCUUGUAGUUUUAAGUUUCUUAUAUUGAAACUAGAUUCGUUCUUAGAUUGUUGCUAUGAGUUUUUUUAUAUUUUUUGCGGCUCAUUUCAUCGGACCAGCUUUUAAACAGACGAGAUUGCAAUCUCUUUGUAAUUAGACAUUUAUUAACUUGUUAGUGAUA